RNAcentral lists this ribosomal RNA (253 nucleotides) under uncultured bacterium. Its description in RNAcentral is "partial 16S ribosomal RNA". It matches the Rfam family "Bacterial small subunit ribosomal RNA", at positions 524 to 776 of the family's 1533-position model. The record is from RNAcentral.
UACGGAGGGUGCAAGCGUUAAUCGGAAUUACUGGGCGUAAAGCGUGCGCAGGCGGUUCGUUGUGUCGGUGGUGAAAGCCCCGGGCUUAACCUGGGAAUGGCCAUGGAAACUGGCGAACUGGAGUGUGGCAGAGGGGGGUGGAAUUCCGCGUGUAGCAGUGAAAUGCGUAGAGAUGCGGAGGAACACCGAUGGCGAAGGCAGCCCCCUGGGCUAGCACUGACGCUCAGGCACGAAAGCGUGGGGAGCAAACAGG